Molecule: ribosomal RNA, 434 nt
Filed under: uncultured Clostridium sp.
Lineage: Bacteria; Bacillati; Bacillota; Clostridia; Eubacteriales; Clostridiaceae
Also listed under: 1 other name
Description: partial 16S ribosomal RNA
Rfam family: Bacterial small subunit ribosomal RNA
Source: RNAcentral
ACGGGAGGCAGCAGUAAGGGAUAUUGCACAAUGGGGGAAACCCUGAUGCAGCAAUGCCGCGUGAGGGAAGAAGGUCUUCGGAUUGUAAACCUAAGUUGGUGGGGACGAUAAUGACGGUACCCACAGAGAAAGCUCCGGCUAACUACGUGCCAGCAGCCGCGGUAAUACGUAGGGAGCGAGCGUUGUCCGGAUUUACUGGGCGUAAAGGGUGCGUAGGCGGGUUUGCAAGUCAGGCGUGAAAUACCGGGGCUUAACUCCGGAGCUGCGCUUGAAACUGCAGAUCUUGAGUGAAGUAGAGGUAGGCGGAAUUCCUAGUGUAGCGGUGAAAUGCGUAGAUAUUAGGAGGAACACCAGUGGCGAAGGCGGCCUACUGGGCUUUAACUGACGCUGAGGCACGAAAGCGUGGGGAGCAAACAGGAUUAGAUACCCUGGUA